GUGCCAGCAGCCGCGGUAAUACGUAGGGGGCUAGCGUUGUCCGGAUUUAUUGGGCGUAAAGAGCGUGUAGGCGGCCAGGUAGGUCCGUUGUGAAAACUCGAGGCUCAACCUCGAGACGUCGGCGGAAACCCUCUGGCUAGAGUCCGGAAGAGGAGAGUGGAAUUCCUGGUGUAGCGGUGAAAUGCGCAGAUAUCAGGAAGAACACCCGUGGCGAAGGCGGCUCUCUGGGACGGUACUGACGCUGAGACGCGAAAGCGUGGGGAGCAAACAGGAUUAGAUACCCUGGUAGUCCACGCCGUAAACGAUGGGUGCUAGGUGUGGGGAGUGUCGACUCUCUCUGUGCCGAAGCUAACGCAUUAAGCACCCCGCCUGGGGAGUACGGCCGCAAGGCUAAA
Molecule: ribosomal RNA, 395 nt
Filed under: uncultured bacterium
Lineage: Bacteria
Description: bacterial SSU rRNA
Rfam family: Bacterial small subunit ribosomal RNA
Source: RNAcentral